UAGCCGACGUUGUAGAGACUGAUCGGCCGACCAUUGGGUACGUGAGACACGGCCCGAAACCUACCUACCGGGAGGGCAGCAGUAGGGAAGUCCUUCCACAAUGGACGCAAGUCUGAUGGAGCAACGCCGCGUGAGUGAAGAAGGUUUUCGGAUCGUAAAGCUCUGUUGUUGGUGAAGAAGGAUAGAGGUAGUAACUGGCCUUUAUUUGACGGUAAUCAACCAGAAAGUCACGGCUAACUACGUGCCAGCAGCCGCGGUAAAU
Molecule: ribosomal RNA, 262 nt
Filed under: uncultured Lactobacillales bacterium
Lineage: Bacteria; Bacillati; Bacillota; Bacilli; Lactobacillales
Description: partial 16S ribosomal RNA
Rfam family: Bacterial small subunit ribosomal RNA
Source: RNAcentral